RNAcentral lists this transfer RNA (24 nucleotides) under Paguma larvata (masked palm civet). RNAcentral describes it as "partial tRNA-Thr". Lineage: Eukaryota; Metazoa; Chordata; Mammalia; Carnivora; Viverridae. The record is from RNAcentral.
GUCUUUGUAGUAUAUAUAAAUACC